GGGAGGGUUUGGUCCUGGAUCCUCGGAGGAUCUGACCUGGCUCAGCACCUCCUGGAAGGGAGCACCCCGGAGCAUGGGAAGGGAGGGGCCGAUGUUUUGGGGGAACGUCUCGGUCGCCCUUCACCAGACUGAGUCAUCGUAGUGCUUUCAUGACUUAUUCACGUGCGUUGAGCCAAGCCGUAUGCUGAACGCCGGGGUGUAGGAAUGAAGCGUCUGGCAAUCUGUGUGGUCACAGCACGGGCUCCUCGCAGGAGUGCAGGAGGCAGGCGUCACCGUCCGUUGGGGGAGAGACAGUACAGGUGCUCUCAGGGGAGACCAGCUGAAUGAAAACACGUCCACUUUCUUGGGGGAAAAUACAGUUUAGUACUUGACGGCUGGGCCAUUCGUCCCCAUAAGGCCAUUCUCAUGGUCCUUGCUGUUUGCGGCAGUAACGCGAAGAGACGGGAAGCAUCGGAAGGAGCAGCUGAGGGGUGCGCCGGGCGCUCCGGUCACUUCCUGUGGGACCGGCCUGGUUUGCAGCUUCCCGGGGCCAGCGGCCUGGUGACCCUCACUCAUCGCAUGGCGGUUCUGAUGCUCCGACUUCACCCCCUGAAGCUGCCGAGCAAAACUCGGAGGUCACGCCCCUCAGCCCUGGCGUGGCUGCCCGGAGCGGAGCCGCAGCGUGUGAGGGCAAAGGGAGCGCAGAGCUACUUUUCCUUCUGGGCGUCCCGCCUGUCCCCUCUUCCCGCCUCCCGAAGACGUCCUGACCCCUCCUUUCCCGUGGCUCCGGCAGCUGAGGACCGCAGGAAGCCCCUCUCUGCCAGUCUUGCCGUGUCUGUGGGGGUCUGCAGGGUGCGUGCGGGCCUUCGUCCUCAGGCCUCGCUGGGGUCAGACGCCGGCCCCUCUGCUCAACCUGAAAUGCCUCCAGAGACAAGAAGACAGGCUUCUGGAGACGGGUUCUCGAGAUUUCUCAAUUGUGGAGAAAACCCUGGACAGGGGCCAUGUGGUCUCAUUUCCUUGCUAAAAUCCCUUCUUUGUGAACUGCGGUUCGAACACCAGAAUCGCCCAUGCGAAGACAUCUGGGUCCUUUUGCAGAACGCUCGUUGGAGAUGGGGUUGCCUGUGUUACCUCAUGUCUGUUAUAUAAGGACGCACUUGAUAAAUUUCUCCUUGAACACCAUGCCAGGAAAAAUUUCUCUUUCCAAUCUGAUUCCAGAGUUAUUGUACAAUGAAAAGUAUACGAGCCAGCCUGUUUCCCCUUCAUCCAGGAAAUUCAGAGAUAAAUCCAGCGUUCAGCUGUAGUAAACAGCUCAUCCCAGGUGGCCCGAAACAUACUGUUUCUGUUUUACCCUCACUUGUUAUUCUGGGAGUUGUGUUCAGUUUGUAAAGU
Long non-coding RNA from Ursus maritimus (polar bear), 1368 nucleotides. Ensembl lists it as uncharacterized. Lineage: Eukaryota; Metazoa; Chordata; Mammalia; Carnivora; Ursidae. The record is from Ensembl.